RNAcentral lists this long non-coding RNA (256 nucleotides) under Homo sapiens (human). RNAcentral describes it as "non-protein coding lnc-IGLL5-7:1". Lineage: Eukaryota; Metazoa; Chordata; Mammalia; Primates; Hominidae. The record is from RNAcentral.
CCUACAUGCAGGGACAGCUCCCCUCAGUGUCGGUAGCCCUGGGACAGAUGACCAUGAUCAUAUGCUCUGGAGAUAACCUCGGAAUAAACACGCAUUUUGGAACAAGCAGAAGCCAAGCCAGACCUCAAUGUCGGUCCUCUAGUAUAACAUCGACCAGCCCUCAGAGACCUCUGCUUAAUUUUUAGGCCACAAACUAGCGAACAUGGCCACCCUGACCAUCAGCAGUGCCCAGGCCAGGGACAAAGCUGACUAUUAC